Molecule: ribosomal RNA, 380 nt
Filed under: Exhippolysmata ensirostris
Lineage: Eukaryota; Metazoa; Arthropoda; Malacostraca; Decapoda; Hippolytidae
Description: partial 12S ribosomal RNA
Rfam family: Bacterial small subunit ribosomal RNA
Source: RNAcentral
UAUUAUCCAUUACUUAAAAUCUAGUUAGGCUUAGGUAGUAACAGUAUAUGUUCUUGAAACUUAAAGGAAUUGGCGGUAUCCCAGUCAAGUUAGGGGAACCUGUCCUGUAAUCGACAAUACACGAAAAAUCUUACUUUAUCUAGUUUGAUAUUACCCAUAUCAUUCAGUUUGUAUACCGCCAUUGUAAAAUACCCUCUAAAGAGGUCGUUGAAAUAGGUUAUACCUAGUAAAUUAGGUCAUGGUGCAGCCCAUGAUAAAGGUUGAGAUGGGUUACAAUUUUUGUAAAAUAACGGAUGGAAGGUGUAAAUAUCUUCUUGAAGGUGGACUUAACAGUAAUAUAAUUUUAACAAGUUUAUAUGGAGUUUGCUCUGGGAUAUGUA